CUAUGAGAAGUAUUACAACUGCCAGCUGCCAGUAAUUCAAGGUGCUCAUGGGGUCCGACCCCAUGGUGAGUCACCAUGACCUCACGGCCUUGCAGGCACACUGCGGAGCUGCGCAUCAGAAGCACAUGCGCACUGGCAGUACUUCUUAUGAGUUGAUCUGAGUAGCAUUGAUGAAAUACACAUAAGGAGCUCGAAGGUCUUGAAACUACAGGCAUUGGCAUUAGGAAGUCCCACAGCAAUCUUGAUCGGCAAGCUAAUGGAAGCGUUCACACUCGAUGCAAAUUCAUUCAAGCGAAUCAAUGAUAGUGCGAUGAAAAUGUGUCACACGGCACUUGCCACACCACAAGUGAUGCAGGAGCAUUGGCAACCUCCUUAAGGAUCCCAGUCACACUAGACAGCAGUUGCACUCACAUCUCCAAGUACGAGGACUUCCGCAUCACUCACAAGGUCACUGACAAUCAGUGACUGGCGGUAUGUGUUCCUGUUGAGAAUGCGCCUAGAACGAGCUGGGUUGCAGACGAUGGCACUUCAUUUCUCAAGAGUCUCAUGAUGCCCUGACAGCAAGUAGACCUUCCUGCAUGUCCCGGUAACUUCCUGCAAGAGCAGAGAGUAGCUGAGUUGACUGCACUGAAGCAACAUCGCUUCCUGAUCAGCUUGCACACUGGAAGAGGAGAAAUAUGCCCACCUUCAAAAGCGCAGGACCUGCGAGGGUGUUUGCUGGCUCGCCUCUGUUGUAAACUAUCACCUGCUGAGCGUUUCCAUCCAGCAGCCCCGCCUGCAGCCUGCAGCACGGAUCAAAAAUCCAGUGAGGCAGAAGAUUUCAAUAUGCAAAUUGAUGUGGCACACUCAUGCUGUCGUUUCCAUACAAUAAUACGAUUAGCGUUGGUUCAAGGUGUUGUGGACCGCACCAGCUUCCUCACAGAGCUCUCAAACUCGCGCACUAGGAUGCUGGUGCUCUCUGUCAUGAUCACUGUACGGAAGAUGCCAAAAUCUGAGUCAGUCAAAUAUACAUGUACGCAAAUUGAUGGGAGACAAGCCCUCAAAGCCCUUGCUGCAAGGCUCCCCUUGGGAACAGAACCUAGCCAGAAUGGCUGCAAAUCAAGGCGUCACCUUGAUUGGAAGGCGCAUCUGUACGACUGUGUGUCGCUUGAUACGUCUUCAUUCGUGGCCAAUCGUCCUGCACAUCAGUGGAUUUUUUUUAGCAUGCUCACUUCUUACUCGCUGAUCCGCCCUUUUGGCCAAAGAUGAAAAACCGUAAUUUCGUGCGAGAGGAUAGAAAAUAAGAGUCACCUUAGAUGUGCUUGCAGGCCCGCAUGAAGAGAAAUUGCUCCUAUCACGGGUAGGGAGGUUGAACAGCGAGUCCAUAUUACAGAGUCUGCAAGGUGGGUUUCUGCGUGUAGCGCCCUGGACUCUCACGGAUGUCUUGAAUUCUCCUCGACUUUGAUCUCUCGGCUGUAUCGAUUAUUGUUCAGCUCUAACCAUUCUCGGCGCACGCGCACGAU
RNAcentral lists this long non-coding RNA (1502 nucleotides) under Coccomyxa subellipsoidea. RNAcentral describes it as "long non-coding RNA (CSUB_LNC000586)". The record is from RNAcentral. Lineage: Eukaryota; Viridiplantae; Chlorophyta; Trebouxiophyceae; Coccomyxaceae.